RNAcentral lists this ribosomal RNA (494 nucleotides) under uncultured bacterium. RNAcentral describes it as "bacterial SSU rRNA". It matches the Rfam family "Bacterial small subunit ribosomal RNA", at positions 903 to 1397 of the family's 1533-position model. The record is from RNAcentral.
AAAGGAAUAGACGGGGGCCCGCACAAGCAGCGGAGCAUGUGGUUUAAUUCGACGCAACGCGAAGAACCUUACCAGGUCUUGACAUCCUGUAAAACUUGACGAGAGUCAAGGUGAGCUUGCUCGUACAGAGACAGGUGGUGCAUGGUUGUCGUCAGCUCGUGUCGUGAGAUGUUGGGUUAAGUCCCGCAACGAGCGCAACCCUUAUGUCCAGUUACUAACGCGUAAAGGCGAGGACUCUGGAGAGACUGCCGGGGACAACUCGGAGGAAGGUGGGGACGACGUCAAAUCAUCAUGCCCCUUAUGACCUGGGCUACACACGUGCUACAAUGGCUACAACAAAGAGAAGCGAGAUCGUAAGAUGGAGCGGAUCUCAAAAAAGUAGUCCCAGUUCGGAUUGUGGGCUGCAACCCGCCCACAUGAAGUCGGAGUUGCUAGUAAUCGCGGAUCAGCAUGCCGCGGUGAAUACGUUCCCGGGCCUUGUACACACCGCCCGU